GUUGGAACAUAAGUUUACCUCUAACUCUUGUCUGAGUCAUGAAGAAUGGAGAAACAGAAGAGGUUUUAUAAGCAGACGGUACCUACUCUUACUACUGGACUUUAUGGAGGAAACUGAAAUAAUACAACAAACUACAAAACUUUCAGUAACUUACAAAUGAAUUCUCAAGAGCAGCUGACAGGUGCGUCUGUGCCAGUGAUACAUUUGCACUGUAGUGCAUUUGUGCCAGCAGCCUAGCAGUGACAGCCUUUGAGGAAUCAAGAUUCCAGCUCAGAAUGCCACAGCCUUGCUAGGGUUUGCAAGCAUUUGUCCCAACCUGUGCAGGACAUUAUAUGGGCAGCUGAGCCCUUCUAGGGAUCAGCCAAGCCCACCUAGUAGUAAUGAGCUCAUUAAGGGACACUAUAAAGGAAGCUUGAGGAAAUGGAAGGUUUUCCUUCCCUCCUUGUUUAGCAGCUGCUUUUUGUAAGACUGUAUCCAGGAAUUACUGCAGAAGCUGUACUGCACAAAAGGACAGAAAGGAGAUUAUGCUUUCAGCAUCACUGCAAAGACCAGAUGAAGUGCUGUGUCUCAAGGAGAAGUGAGCAGUGCAAGCUAUACCUUGAACAGCCUGCUGCUGUUAUUGUUGCUGCUGCUGUCAGACUACCUGUCUUGAUGCCAAACCUGCAUCUGCAUGUCGCAAACAGAUGGGUUCACAAAUCAGUUGGCUGCAGUUUUGGAGGAGUGCUGGAAAUUUAUCCUAUGGAGAGCUGGUGUAGAGCCCAGACCUGUCACAGGAGUGCCCUGAGGAGCUGCUCCACAGCAGCCCUCACUUUACCCGCUGCAACCAGUGGGCCAGAAGCAAGGAGCAAAUGGGCCAGGAAACCAGCAUGGGUUCCUCACCCUCUUCUGCUGCUACCAGGGAUCAUAUGCUUUAGAUUAUUCCCUAACCAAAGUUGUGCUGAUUAUUGAUGCUGUGCCAAAUGCAUGUUUACUAACUGUUCCUCUCUGAGUAUAACCAAAUUAGGAAAUACAUUUUUAUUUGUGGUGUCAUUUUAUUAUGUGCAGUAAUUGGGUUUCAUGUGAUAUGUCACCCAGGGGGUUAUUUGUACAUAAAAGGAGAGAUGUUGAGCUCAAUCUCUCUUAUCGUGUGUGUUAAUGAAAUUAAACCACGGUAAAUAAAUUGAUGUAAUUUACCA
This 1175-nucleotide long non-coding RNA is filed under the name Anas platyrhynchos platyrhynchos (common mallard). RNAcentral's name for it is "lncRNA (ENSAPLG00000021810.1)". The record is from RNAcentral. Lineage: Eukaryota; Metazoa; Chordata; Aves; Anseriformes; Anatidae.